UUUCCCUCAGGAAGUGAGUUUUGUGCAUAGCAUGAGGAAGGAAUCCUGCGGGGGAAAACAGUUGCACUGUCAUCUAAUUGGAUGUUGCAUCAUGAAACAGAUUUCAUGAGGGAUGAUGGUACAGAGGGAAUUAAAGUUGCAGAGAACGUUUUUGAUACAUCACCAGUUCAUGCCAGCACAAAGAAGAAGAAAUCCCCAACACUUAAUACGAAUCUGAAACUUUCAGUGUUGUGUUGAUCUUAUAACUGAAAUGGAAAUGGUCCACAACGUUUAGGCACAAUCAAGAUGUAAGUUGUCUUCUGUAACCGAGCAGUGACUUCCUUUGUGGAUGGAGUUGUUUCACAAAACACCACUCAGGAGCCGAUCCAUAGCUGCUGCCUGAAACUUCUUAGGAAUUCAGAAUUUUUCCCUUGUUCAUAUUCCUAGAAAACUUCUUUUUUUUUCUGUCUGUGAUGCAGAGCACUGAAAUAUCAUUCAGAGGACUGAAGUCCGGAGUCCGCUUUAGAUACCUACUUAGACCAUAAAAAUGUAGGAUGGUCCUAUAGUAAAGCUGGAUCUUGAGGUUCUGAGUAUCAGAAACAGACACAUAUAUGUGUUGUAGCUUUAGGUGUUUUAUGCAAAAGGCUAUGCCUACUUGUCUUCUGACAUUGCCUUCAGCUAUUUAUCAGUAGAUCAUUAACCCUGUAGGUCCACGUGUAUGAAGUGUUCUAAUCUUAUACACUGUGAAACAAUGAACGGGUGUUCUUACUGCAAAUGGAUUAGUGCUGCUGUUGCAUAACUCUAGUACAUUGCCCAGAAAUAUAACCUUCUUUAAAGUUUUGUGGGUUUUUUCUUCUUUCCUGCAAUGUCACCCACUUUCAAAAUGAAUACUGAUUCUAACUUAAAAAAAUAACUUUCGUGUUUGAAUUCCCAAAUGUAGUAUGAAAUGUACUUUCUAGUAGGAUGUAGAGUGUGGUCGGGUACAACGUACUGUAGCACUCGGGGUUUAGACUGAAAUCAAUUAAAAAGGAAAGUCAAAUGCAGAGUAGGGUGUUCUUAGUUGUACCUUUGAAAUUUAUUUCAGCUCAGACUUUUUACAGUGUUAAUGUCUGUCUUGAAGGAGCUAGCAUAACUUUGAAAGGUUUCUGUCCUUGCUUGCUGUAAUUCAUUUGGAAGAGCAUGAGGUUUUAGAAGAGAUUUUUGUUGUUGUUGUUUUAAUUUGGGGAAAAACACUAAACAUGUUUUUGGCAAUUUUUAAAAGAAGCUAUAAUUAUGUCAAAAAUACCACAAUGAGGAAAAAUUGAGUAUGUAUAAUAGGUUUUUAAUAGAUUCAGCAUAUGGUAAAAAGGGAGCCUGAAAAGAUUUAUACAAGGACAUACUAAAUUAGUCCAGAAACAUGCAGAACUCCUUAAAAUGGAUAACACUAAAAGUCCUUUUUAGUUAUUUUUCCAAACCACGAUGAAUGACUUGGUGAAAAAUAUAUUUUUUUUUUGAACCAAACUCUGAAGUAAAAUAAGUAUGCCAGAGCUCUCGAGUGAGUUCCUUGGCAAGCCUAGUAAUAUAGCCUUCAUAUUCAUCAUGUAACUUACCUGUUCUUACAACCGUUUACAUUUAAAAUCCAUUGAGUUAAAGAAAUCAGAAGUAUCAAAGCAUGCAUGGCAAAAUAUACUAUAACAUUUGAUUUAUUAGAAAAGAGCUGUUUAUCUGCUUUAUUCCCUUAUUCUAAGAGGGAAUUAAAGUUGGG
Amazona collaria (yellow-billed parrot) is the source of this 1723-nucleotide long non-coding RNA. The record is from Ensembl. Lineage: Eukaryota; Metazoa; Chordata; Aves; Psittaciformes; Psittacidae.